This 59-nucleotide microRNA precursor is filed under the name Limulus polyphemus (Atlantic horseshoe crab). Its description in RNAcentral is "Lpo-Mir-184-P21_pre stem-loop". Lineage: Eukaryota; Metazoa; Arthropoda; Merostomata; Xiphosura; Limulidae. The record is from RNAcentral.
CCUUAUCAUUCGACUGUCCAGAUUAUAUUCGUAUUUCUGGACGGAGAACUGAUAAGGGC